This 465-nucleotide ribosomal RNA is filed under the name uncultured bacterium. RNAcentral describes it as "bacterial SSU rRNA". It matches the Rfam family "Bacterial small subunit ribosomal RNA", at positions 330 to 795 of the family's 1533-position model. The record is from RNAcentral.
CCCAGACUCCUACGGGAGGCAGCAGUGAGGAAUAUUGGUCAAUGGGAGAGAUCCUGAACCAGCCAUGCCGCGUGAAGGCGAGUGCCCUACGGGCGUUAAACUUCUUUUGUGCGGGAGCAAUAAGGGCCACGCGUGGCCCGAUGAGAGUACCGCACGAAUAAGCAUCGGCUAACUCCGUGCCAGCAGCCGCGGUAAUACGGGGGAUGCGAGCGUUAUCCGGAUUUAUUGGGUUUAAAGGGUGCGCAGGCGGCCUGUUAAGUCGGGGGAAAAAGCCCGGGGCUCACCCCCGGCGAGCCGUUGAAACUGGCGGGCUGGAGUUGGAGAGAAGUACGCGGAAUGCGCGGUGUAGCGGUGAAAUGCUUAGAUAUCGCGCAGAACCCCGAUUGCGAAGGCAGCGUACCGGCUCCACACUGACGCUGAGGCACGAAAGCGUGGGUAUCGAACAGGAUUAGAUACCCGAGUAAC